GAAAGUAAAUAAGGGCGCAUGGCGGAUGCCUUGGCUCUCGGAGGCGAUGAAGGACGUGAUAAGCUGCGAUAAGUCACGGGGAGGUGCAAAUAACCUUUGAUCCGUGAAUUUCCGAAUGGGACAACCCGUUACCUUGAAGAGGUGACAUCCAUCAAUGAUGGAGGCUAACGCAGGGAACUGAAACAUCUUAGUACCUGCAGGAAAAGAAAAUAACAAUGAUUCCCCCAGUAGUGGCGAGCGAACGGGGAAGAGCCCAAACCACACAUGUUACGGCAUGGAUGGGGUUGUAGGACCACGGCGUUGCAAGAACUCUUGUGAGAAGAACAGUCUGGAAAGACUGACCAGAGACGGUGACAGUCCGGUAUUCGAAGCAAGACGAAGCAUAGUGGUAUCCUGAGUAGCGCGGAACACGAGGAAUUCUGCGUGAAUCUGCCGGGACCAUCCGGUAAGGCUAAAUACUCCCGAGAGACCGAUAGUGGACCAGUACCGUGAGGGAAAGGUGAAAAGCACUUCGAACAGAAGAGUGAAAGAGUACCUGAAACCGUGCGCCUACAAGCGGUCGGAGCACGAAAGUGUGACGGCGUGCCUUUUGCAUAAUGAACCUACGAGUUACCGUAUCUGGCAAGGUUAAGGGUCACGAGACCUGCAGCCGAAGCGAAAGCGAGUCUGAAGAGGGCGUCGAGUCAGUUGCGGUAGACGCGAAACCAAGUGAUCUACCCUUGGCCAGGAUGAAGUCUGGGUAACACCAGAUGGAGGUCCGCACCAAUAAGCGUUGAAAAGCUUCUGGAUGAGCUGAGGGUAGGGGUGAAAGGCUAAUCAAACUUGGAGAUAGCUCGUACUCCCCGAAAUGCAUUUAGGUGCAGCCUCGCGGGUUACUGAUGUGAGGUAGAGCGACUGAUUGGAUGCGAGGGCUUCACCGCCUAUCAAGUCCUGACAAACUCCGAAUGCGCAUCAGUUUUACCGCGGGAGUGAGGGCAUGGGUGCUAAGGUCCGUGCCCGAGAGGAGAAGAAUCCGGACCACCGGCUAAGGUCCCGAAAUGACAGCUAAGUUAAACUAACGAAGUCUGAUUGCUAAGACAGCUAGGAUGUUGGCUUGGAAGCAGCCAUUCAUUUAAAGAGUGCGUAACAGCUCACUAGUCGAGGAAUCGGGCGUGGAUAAUAAUCGGGUAUAAGCUGUCUACCGAAGCCGUGGAACCAGCAAUGGUUGGUAGGGGAGCAUUCCAUUCGGCGUCGAAGGCGUACCGCGAGGUACUCUGGAGCGUAUGGAAAAGCAAAUGUAGGUAUAAGUAACGAUAAAGGGGGUGAGAAACCCCCUCGCCGAAAGACUAAGGUUUCCUGAUCAACGCUAAUCGGAUCAGGGUAAGUCGGGUCCUAAGGUUCAGCCGAACGGCGAGACCGAUGGCAGAAACGGUUAAUAUUCCGUUACUACCUUUGAGGGUGACGUGGGGACGCAGGAGUGACACCGCCGCCGGCUGACGGAAUAGCCGGUUAAAGAGUGUAGACGUUGAUUUCCGCAGGCAAAUCCACGGAAAGAGUCGAACUUGACAGUAUGGAACGUCCUUCGGGACAAUCCAAUAGUGCGGGUAAGCAGACUGCCGAGAAAAUCCGCUAAACAUAACUUCAGAGGUACCCGUACCGCAAACGGACACACGUAGUCGGGUUGAAUAUACUAAGGCGCUUGAGUGAAUCACGGUUAAGGAACUAGGCAAACUGACCCUGUAACUUCGGGAUAAAGGGUCCCUACCCAGAAAUGGGAGGGCGCAGAGAAUAGGUCCAGGCAACUGUUUAACAAAAACACAGGGCUGUGCCAAUAUGAAAGUAGACGUAUACAGCCUGACACCUGCCCGGUGCUGGAAGGUUAAGAGGAGAUGUCAUCGCAAGAGAAGCAUUGAAUUGAAGCCCCAGUAAACGGCGGCCGUAACUAUAACGGUCCUAAGGUAGCGAAAUUCCUUGUCGGGU
RNAcentral lists this ribosomal RNA (1959 nucleotides) under human gut metagenome. Its description in RNAcentral is "bacterial LSU rRNA". It matches the Rfam family "Bacterial large subunit ribosomal RNA", at positions 1 to 1977 of the family's 2925-position model. The record is from RNAcentral.